This is a long non-coding RNA of Peromyscus californicus insignis, 4825 nucleotides long. RefSeq lists it as uncharacterized. The record is from RefSeq and is a predicted model, not a curated record. Lineage: Eukaryota; Metazoa; Chordata; Mammalia; Rodentia; Cricetidae. The transcript is spliced from 3 exons.
UUUAAAUUCGGCAACUCGGCAGAGAGAGCAAACCGGAAGUGGGGUGUGCCUAUGUAAUCUUCGUCCAGCAGGGCUGGGCUCCCUAAGCCUCCCCAAACAAGCAGAGAACCUCCUGUGCAAACACCCCAGCCUGUGGGGAACAUUUCUCAUUCAAACCACCACACCUAGCUAACCACAGGGGAUUAUUUUUAGAGCUGGUCUUGAGUUAUAGAAGAGUGCCUGAAAUCUUUCUGAAAAAAAGGUCUGUCUGGCUCUGGCUUCGGACAGCUGAGGGUCCUAGUAUGGUUCGUGUAUUGAGAGUCCUCCUGAAAGUUUGUGUGUUGAAAGCUUGCUCACGUCUAACUUCACCGAGGGCUUACACCAGAGGUUAGCCUCUCUGUGCCAGCACAUCUGAAUGCCAUGAUAUUGCACCUUGCCUCAGGAGGAGGUGAAAGCGGAGGAGACAGCUGAUCUUAGAACCAUGAAGACAUGAGCCAAGCAGAUGUUAUGGUUGACUUAGUGUGUCCCGGCAACAGUGAAAUGACACAGUAGGUUGCUCCAGAGAACUUCAGAGAGAAAUGUGGAGCAGAGUAAGGUAAAGAACAUGUAUCUGUUUCCUACUGCUUACAUAACAAACCACCCCCAAAUGUAGUACCUCGAGACCACAGCCCUUUAUUUGUUCACUGUUAUGUAAGCUGGGCUGAGCUGAUAGGUUCUUCUCACCCGAGGUUAUCUGUGUGGCUGAAAUCAGCUGCCAGGUCGGGUGAGGCUGUUGUUCCAGGGGUCUCAGCCGGAAUGGCCGAUCACAUUUCCCCCUUUUCAUGGGGCAACAGAAGAGUGCUCCAUGGCCAGAUAGGCCACCCCACCCCCGUCUGUCUGUCUGUCUGUCUGUCUGUUCAUGUUACGGAAGCUGAGCAUCAGUGCGAGCCUGGAUUGCUCAAAGGCACCAGUAUAGGAAAGCAUGUUCCUAGGGGGCGGCCCUUGGUGGGUGAAUCCUCAACAGUUUUUCUGAGACACUUUAGGCAAUGUCUUAGCUAAGACUACGAAAGGUAAAGUUUAGAGAUAAGCUGGAAGUUUGGUUUUAGAAUUCAGGUUCAGGAACUUUGAAAUCUGUGUUACUUUUGUUAGUAUGAUCCCAUGUAUACACAUAAGCAAAUAAGACCUAGGGAAACUCACACUGGUUGGCUUUGAACAGCUCUCUCGGUCCCUAGGGUUUAGUCUCUCCCGAUUGUAAAACUCCUCGCCAAGGUUAUUUGUGGUAAGGGUCGUGUGAGCUCAGGGUCUUCUGUGAGAACAGUGGAAGCCUCACACAGGUGUGGAUGCUCUUCCUGUCAUGGCCAGGAUCCACUGUUUCAGGAGACAUUAAGCCUGGUGCACAGAAAGACGUAUGAUACUCAGUGAGAAGUCUGAGGCCCAGCUGUGUAAAUCACCUUAAAAAUUCAUGAGAGGACUUUUUUUUUUUCAUUCCAUAUGCGUUAAAUUUGUCUCUGUCACUUUCUCUCCCUAAGAUCAAUAAAAAGGAAACUGAUUUUAUUUCAAAAAACCAAUUAUUUCUGCUUUCGCUUUUGUGCUCAAGCCUAAAUGGCUCCUUCUUUUCCAACACAGCAUGUUUUCUUCUGCCUCUAAUGGUGUCAAUCCAACUCACCAGACAGCUCCAGGAAGUGCUUGAUGGAUCACAGCCCAAGCUGCUCCCUGUUCCCCAUCCAUCAAGUGUUACCAAGUCCUUUUUAUGUCUGGGUGGGUGCUAGGACCUGGUGACAAAGAAAAAGAUGGUUUUUAUCCUCCAGGAGCUCACAGACCAGCAGCAAGACAGAUGUAGAAACAGGAAACAGUGCCAUGCUUGUGCACUUUGAAAGGAGCAGAUGUGUCUAUUCAGCAAAUAUUUAACGAUCGCUUGUUCUGUGCAUGCCUCAAGUUAGUGUGAAAUACAAAGAGGGUUAAGAGACCUCUUCUGUUUUUAUGGUGUGACUGGUCGAGGAGAGAGACAAGUCAACAGUCACAAUUCAGACAGAACCUCGGGAGUCAGCACCAGUGUUGCGUGGGAGCAGAGAGAACAGAACCUGCCAGGUAGAAGUGGUUGGGGAAGAUUUCCCACAGUUUCGUAUAAACCAAGAAAAAGGCAGGGGGAGAUUCCAGGGGGAGAGAUAUAGCCAGGUUGAGUGGCCUGGGAAAGUAGGACACUUGAGAGAAAGCAGUGCAGCCUGCCUGGCCCACAGAGUGAGAAGGGGCCAGGAGAGGGAAAUCUGGAGAGCUGGGCAGAGGCCAGAGCCCAGGAGGAAGAUAGAUAGUUUCAUUGGAUCUUUGUUUUAGAAAGAUCAUUGCAGAAGUGGGUCAAAUGCCCCCUAGGGGCUGCCUCAGGGAACAAUGGCACUUGUAAACUAAAUUUUUGUUUAAUUCAUAUUUAUUUUCUUUCGUAUGUGUAUGUGUACCUGAGUGUAUGUGUAUGCACAUGUGUGUGCACGAACCCACAGACAUCAGAGGAGGUCACGGAACUGAAGUCACAGAUGGUUGUGAGUCACCUGUCAAAUAGCUCUGCAGAAGAAGACUGCGAAGAUUUAAGACCCCAAGCCAAGGCGAGGGGGUGGGCUUCAGGAGACAUGGAGCCUGUCCACACAUCAUCCACAGACUGAACACCCAGCCUGUCGCACUUUGUUCUGACCACCGUACCAAAGCCAUCAAAGCGGAAGAGUCAGGAGAUGGGUGGACGCAGGGAUGUACGGAGCAAGGGAAGAGGGAGGAAAACGUGACGCUCAAGUUCCUGACUUGUGCAGCCCCAUGCUGAGCCUCAAAGGACGAUACCACCCAAAUACGGUGUUUGGAGACACAGGAAGCAUUUGGCCUAGAGGAAAAGCUUGCUGCUGUCCACCCAUGACUGAGUGGAAGCUCUGGAAUUUCCCAUCUCUGUUAAGAGAGCGCUGCCUUCCACCCUACGGUGAAGCCCCGGCAAGUCAGUGAGACUGAAAGGAUAAUGUCUCUCCUUGUGCACCUUCAAAUUCCACAGAGGCCUCUUGGAAACCUCCUAAUAAGCGCCUGUGAGCCUCUGAAACUGUCCUUAGAGCAAACAGGGCACCAUGGUUUUUAAUAAUGUCAAGUGGGGGACUGUAUCACUCCUGCGACUCUCCCUGUGCAUGCAUGCCUUUCUCCUUCUGGUUGUGAAUCAAUUGUGUGCCUUUUCUUUUUAAUGGUCAUCAGCUUAUUCCCUUGGCCUUGACAAUAGCACACAGGGCUGCUGUGUUCCGAGAGGUGUAACAAGGCAGACUGGCGAGGCUGCAGACGUAGAUGAUGCUGUCUGCUUGUGGCGUCUCUGAGGGAGAGCGCAGUGGAGAUGAGCAGCUGGCUGUGUGGGGUCGGAGCUCAAGGGGCAUGAGCCCAGGAUGUGGUGUUGGGGAUUCCAGAUACAGGGCAGCUGAAGCAGAGCAGUGGUUGAGGCCACUCUAGGGGCAUCGUGCUGUGUAAAGAGUGGGCAGAGGACUUAAUCCCAGAGAAGCCCAUUGCUUACGAGAGAGUGAAGGAAAAUGACGGGGCAUUAGCAGAGAGUCGUGGAGAACAGUGUCAUGUCCCUCAAGUGCUGAAGAGGGAUCAAAGCUUCUGGCAUUCUGUCUGUCUCUCUGUGUCUACACACACACACACACACACACACACACACACACACACACACACACGCACGCACGCACCAAUGCCCUUUCCCAUUUCUUCAUUGCGUUUACUGUUCCAGUUUCACAGCCAGAGCUGGAGUGAUAUCAGUUUACUUCUCCAGAAAUGGCAGAAUCUUCCCCCUGGUGACUUGCUCUCUCAGAGGGCUGUCUACUGGGUUGUCCUGCUUCCUUCCAGGGCCUUCCUUAGACCUUCCCUUGGUGACAGCCUGUGGCUGCUGAAGGAGUGUUGGGGGCGGGGCCCCUCUUCUUAGGGCUCUGUGCCUGAGUCAGAAUGUAUAGAUCUAGGGAAGCUAUGGCCUCCAGUGACCUCAGCUUCCCAGUCCCUACAAGUCCCAUCUUCACGGGCACUUUGGAUUCCAGGGCAUUGCUCUUAGCUUUUUUUAGGGAGAGAGAAAGCACCGAACCCUCUCCUGAACCCACUAACCCUGGAAGAGAUGCAUUAGAGAAAGGCAGAGUGUUCAUCUUGAAACUAUCCAGGAAAUUGACCUGCCUGUCCUUGACUGCAACGAUCAGUUCCCAGGGAAACAGUCUCUCGUCUGAAGUCGUCUCUUCUUGCCACUCAGUCCUUCCUCCUCAGCUCUACUCCUUGGUGAUUCCAAAAGCCCCUGGUCCAAUCUGGAAUGACCACAGAAGGCCUGAGGCACCUCUCCUCCUCUCCUAUAAAGUCACUUUGCCAUCGAGGACUUUCCCCUUCCAAGAGUAGAGGAGACAAUAUGUAGGAAGCAAGCUUUCUUCCUUUGGAAGCAUCCUAGGCUGUAAUACCAGUGCUUAGGAGCUAAGGCAAGAGGAUUAACAGAAGUAUGAGCCAGCCUGGGCUACAUAGAGAGCUUAGUGAGUUUGAAGCCAGUCAGCCAGGACUAGUGUGAGAUUCAUCUCAGAGACCGGAGAGACCCAGAGACAGAGACAGAGAGACUGAUCUGCCUUGCAGUUAAAAAUCGGAAUGCUAAUCCAUUCACUUUGAACAAUUUUCCCUGCAAUGUAUCCUCAACAUCUCUGGAACCUCAAAACAGCAACAAGAAAUGGGGGUUUGGGGUGGGAGGACAGCAAGGAGGUCCUUUUCACUUUCACUGAAAGAAAACCAGAAGAGAUUUGCUCAUAUGCUGGACUUUGUCAGAGAUCUUCAGUAACAUAAUAGGGUUCUUGUCUCUUCAGCUAGCCUCUCUGUGGUGCCCCAGCAUGAAUCAGAUGUG